RNAcentral lists this ribosomal RNA (497 nucleotides) under uncultured bacterium. RNAcentral's name for it is "partial 16S ribosomal RNA". It matches the Rfam family "Bacterial small subunit ribosomal RNA", at positions 28 to 507 of the family's 1533-position model. The record is from RNAcentral.
GAUGAACGCUGGCGGCGUGCCUAAUACAUGCAAGUCGAGCGAACAGACGAGGAGCUUGCUCUCCUAACGUUAGCGGCGGACGGGCGAGUAACACGUGGAUAACCUACCUAUAAGUCUGGGAUAACUUCGGGAAACCGGAGCUAAUAACGGAUAAUAUAUUGUACCGCAUGGUUCAAUAGUGAAUGACGGUUUUGCCGUCUCUUAUAGCUGGAUCCGCGUCGCAUUAGCUAGUUGGUAAGGUAACGGCUUACCAAGGCUACGAUGCGUAGCUGACCUGAGAGGGUGAUCAGCCACACUGGAACUGAGACACGGUCCAGACUCCUACGGGAGGCAGCAGUAGGGAAUCUUCCGCAAUGGGCGAAAGCCUGACGGAGCAACACCGCGUGGGUGAUGAAGGUCUUCGGAUCGUAAAGCUCUGUUAUUGGGAAAGAAAAAAUGUGUAAUUAACUAUGCACGUCUUGACGGUACCUAAACAGAAAGCCACGGCUAACUACGUG